AUUGAACGCUGGCGGCAUGCUUUACACAUGCAAGUCGAACGGCAGCGCGGGCUUCGGCCUGGCGGCGAGUGGCGAACGGGUGAGUAAUACAUCGGAACGUGCCCAGUAGUGGGGGAUAGCUCGGCGAAAGCCGGAUUAAUACCGCAUACGACCUGAGGGUGAAAGCGGGGGAUCUUCGGACCUCGCGCUAUUGGAGCGGCCGAUGGCAGAUUAGCUAGUUGGUGGGGUAAAGGCCUACCAAGGCGACGAUCUGUAGCUGGUCUGAGAGGACGACCAGCCACACUGGGACUGAGACACGGCCCAGACUCCUACGGGAGGCAGCAGUGGGGAAUUUUAGACAAUGGGCGAAAGCCUGAUCCAGCAAUGCCGCGUGUGUGAUGAAGGCCUUCGGGUUGUAAAGCACUUUUGGCGGGAACGAAAAGGACUGUGCCAAUACCGCGGUUCGAUGACGGUACCCGCAGAAUAAGCACCGGCUAACUACGUG
This 484-nucleotide ribosomal RNA is filed under the name uncultured bacterium. Its description in RNAcentral is "partial 16S ribosomal RNA". It matches the Rfam family "Bacterial small subunit ribosomal RNA", at positions 29 to 507 of the family's 1533-position model. The record is from RNAcentral.